Molecule: ribosomal RNA, 421 nt
Filed under: uncultured bacterium
Lineage: Bacteria
Description: partial 16S ribosomal RNA
Rfam family: Bacterial small subunit ribosomal RNA
Source: RNAcentral
AAUUUUGGACAAUGGGGGCAACCCUGAUCUAGCCAUCCCGCGUGUGCGAUGAAUGCCUUCGGGUUGUAAAGCACUUUUGGCAGGGAAGAAAAGGCUCUGUCUAAUACCCGGAGAUGCUGUCGGUACCUGCAUAAUAAGCAUCGGCUAACUCCGUGCGAGACGCCGCGGUAAUACGUAGGGUGCAAGCGUUAAUCGGAAUUACUGGUCGUAAAGCGUGCGCAGGCGGUUCGGCAAGAAGGAUGUGAAAUACCAGGGCUUAACCUUGGAACUGCAUUCUUAACUGCCGGGCUAGAGUAUGUCAGAGGGGGGUAGAAUUCCGCGUGUAGCAGUGAAAUGCGUAGAGAUGCGGAGGAAUACCGAUGGCGAAGGCAGCCCCCUGGGAUAAUACUGACGCUCAUGCACGAAAGCGUGGGGAGCAAAC